RNAcentral lists this ribosomal RNA (1202 nucleotides) under metagenome. RNAcentral's name for it is "bacterial SSU rRNA". It matches the Rfam family "Bacterial small subunit ribosomal RNA", at positions 8 to 1238 of the family's 1533-position model. The record is from RNAcentral.
AGAGUUUGAUCCUGGCUCAGGAUGAACGCUGGCGGCGUGCCUAAUACAUGCAAGUCGAACGGGGUGUUUGAGCAAUCGAGCACUUAGUGGCGAACGGGUGAGUAACGCGUUGGUGACCUGCCCCGAAGCGGGGGAUAACAGCCUGAAAGGGUUGCUAAUACCGCAUAACAUGACGAGAGACUAGAAGCUUGUCAUGAAAGGAGAAAUCCACUUUUGGGAGGGGCCUGCGUCCCAUCAGCUAGUUGGUAGGGUAAAAGCCUACCAAGGCUAAGACGGGUAGGGGACCUGAGAGGGUGACCCCCCACAAUGGAACUGAAACACGGUCCAUACACCUACGGGUGGCAGCAGUAGGGAAUAUUGCACAAUGGGCGAAAGCCUGAUGCAGCAACGCCGCGUGAGUGAUGAAGGCCUUCGGGUCGUAAAACUCUUUCCAAGAGGAAGAGGAAGGACGGUACUCUUGGAAUAAGCCUCGGCUAACUACGUGCCAGCAGCCGCGGUAACACGUAGGAGGCAAGCGUUAUUCGGAUUUACUGGGCGUAAAGCGCGUGUAGGCGGCUAUAAAAGUUGGAUGUGAAAGCUCCCGGCUUAACUGGGAGAGGACGUUCAAAACUCUAUAGCUUGAGUAUGAGAGAGGAAAAUGGAAUUCCGGGUGUAGUGGUGAAAUGCGUAGAUAUCCGGAGGAACACCAGUGGCGAAGGCGAUUUUCUGGCUCAAGACUGACGCUCAGACGCGAAAGCUAGGGUAGCAAACGGGAUUAGAGACCCCGGUAGUCCUAGCCGUAAACGAUGUAGACUAGGCGUUGGAGGAGUAAAAUCCUUCAGUGCCGCAGCAAACGCGAUAAGUCUACCGCCUGGGGACUACGGCCGCAAGGUUAAAACUCAAAGGAAUUGACGGGGCCCCGCACAAGCAGCGGAGCGUGUGGUUUAAUUCGAUUCUACACGAAGAACCUUACCAGGGUUUGACAUACAAGUAGUAGGGAACUGAAAAGGGACCGACCCUUCGGGGAGCUUGAACAGGUGCUGCAUGGCUGUCGUCAGCUCGUGUCGUGAGAUGUUCGGUUAAGUCCGCUAACGAGCGCAACCCUCGCUGUGUGUUACAAGUGUCACACGGAACUGCCGGUCAUAAACCGGAGGAAGGUGGGGAUGACGUCAAGUCAGCAUGGCCUUUAUAUCCUGGGCUACACACACGCUACAAUGGGAAGC